UGACGUGCUUGCACUGAAUGAGAUUUUAACACGAAGUGAGUGGCGGACGGGUGAGUAACACGUGGGUAACCUGCCCAGAAGCAGGGGAUAACACCUGGAAACAGAUGCUAAUACCGUAUAACAGAGAAAACCGCCUGGUUUUCUUUUAAAAGAUGGCUCUGCUAUCACUUCUGGAUGGACCCGCGGCGCAUUAGCUAGUUGGUGAGGUAACGGCUCACCAAGGCGAUGAUGCGUAGCCGACCUGAGAGGGUAAUCGGCCACAUUGGGACUGAGACACGGCCCAGACUCCUACGGGAGGCAGCAGUAGGGAAUCUUCCACAAUGGACGCAAGUCUGAUGGAGCAACGCCGCGUGAGUGAAGAAGGGUUUCGGCUCGUAAAGCUCUGUUGUUAAAGAAGAACGUGGGUGAGAGUAACUGUUCACCCAGUGACGGUAUUUAACCAGAAAGCCACGGCUAACUACGUGCCAGCAGCCGCGGUAAUACGUAGGUGGCAAGCGUUAUCCGGAUUUAUUGGGCGUAAAGCGAGCGCAGGCGGUCUUUUAAGUCUAAUGUGAAAGCCUUCGGCUCAACCGAAGAAGUGCAUUGGAAACUGGGAGACUUGAGUGCAGAAGAGGACAGUGGAACUCCAUGUGUAGCGGUGAAAUGCGUAGAUAUAUGGAAGAACACCAGUGGCGAAGGCGGCUGUCUGGUCUGUAACUGACGCUGAGGCUCGAAAGCAUGGGUAGCGAACAGGAUUAGAUACCCUGGUAGUCCAUGCCGUAAACGAUGAUUACUAAGUGUUGGAGGGUUUCCGCCCUUCAGUGCUGCAGCUAACGCAUUAAGUAAUCCGCCUGGGGAGUACGACCGCAAGGUUGAAACUCAAAAGAAUUGACGGGGGCCCGCACAAGCGGUGGAGCAUGUGGUUUAAUUCGAAGCUACGCGAAGAACCUUACCAGGUCUUGACAUCUUCUGCCAACCUAAGAGAUUAGGCGUUCCCUUCGGGGACAGAAUGACAGGUGGUGCAUGGUUGUCGUCAGCUCGUGUCGUGAGAUGUUGGGUUAAGUCCCGCAACGAGCGCAACCCUUAUUACUAGUUGCCAGCAUUCAGUUGGGCACUCUAGUGAGACUGCCGGUGACAAACCGGAGGAAGGUGGGGACGACGUCAAAUCAUCAUGCCCCUUAUGACCUGGGCUACACACGUGCUACAAUGGAUGGUACAACGAGUCGCGAAACCGCGAGGUUUAGCUAAUCUCUUAAAACCAUUCUCAGUUCGGACUGUAGGCUGCAACUCGCCUACACGAAGUCGGAAUCGCUAGUAAUCGCGGAUCAGCAUGCCGCGGUGAAUACGUUCCCGGGCCUUGUACACACCGCCCGUCACACCAUGAGAGUUUGUAACACCCAAAGCCGGUGGGGUAACCUUUAGA
This 1402-nucleotide ribosomal RNA is filed under the name Pediococcus acidilactici. RNAcentral's name for it is "bacterial SSU rRNA". It matches the Rfam family "Bacterial small subunit ribosomal RNA". Lineage: Bacteria; Bacillati; Bacillota; Bacilli; Lactobacillales; Lactobacillaceae. The record is from RNAcentral.